GUGGGGAAUCUUCCGCAAUGGGCGAAAGCCUGACGGAGCAACGCCGCGUGAGUGACGAAGGCCUUCGGGUCGUAAAACUCUGUCUUCAGGGAAGAGCAAAGACGGUACCUGAGGAGGAAGCCCCGGCUAACUACGUGCCAGCAGCCGCGGUAAAACGUAGGGGGCGAGCGUUGUCCGGAAUUACUGGGCGUAAAGGGCGUGUAGGCGGCCCAAGAAGUCAGAAGUGAAAGCCCGCGGCUCAACCGCGGAACUGCUACUGAAACCAUUGGGCUUGAGUACGGGAGAGGAAAGUGGAAUUCCCAGUGUAGCGGUGAAAUGCGUAGAUAUUGGGAGGAACACCAGUGGCGAAAGCGGCUUUCUGGCCUGGAACUGACGCUGAGGCGCGAAAGCGUGGGGAGCAAACAGGAUUAGAAACCCUAGUAGUCC
This 426-nucleotide ribosomal RNA is filed under the name uncultured bacterium. RNAcentral's name for it is "bacterial SSU rRNA". It matches the Rfam family "Bacterial small subunit ribosomal RNA", at positions 354 to 796 of the family's 1533-position model. The record is from RNAcentral.